AUGGCGGCCGCCUGCGUCCUCGUCGAUUCCGCGGCCUACAUCGACGACACCAACGACAGCACCAACGGCAGCACGGCCCAAGAGUUUACCAGUACAGGCAAUCGGAUCGUGGUUUCCUUGUGGCCUGCGUCCCCGCCGAUCCCAUCCCGUCUCACCGUGCACGGCAAGGAGAUGCAUCCCGGCCAUGACUUCUUCCAGGAACCCAAGAUCCUUUGCGCGGCGGACUGCUUCUUUGUCCUCCGCAUCGCCAUCGGCCGCAGCCCCCCACCCAGAUACAUCACACAGAAGAUGAGUGACUACUUCAUCUACCAGCCGGCUAGAUCCACAGGUCCGUCGCUCACGCUCCUCCCUCAUCCUCACCCUCACUUGUUCGAAGACGAUGAGGUUGGCGUCCUCCGCCGCGGCGACCACUUCACCAUCGCCGUGCUGUCUCAAGCCUCGUAUUUCAAUUUCGUGCUCUACCUGUUCAAGUCCGAGGACUGGUAUUGGACCUACAAGGAGGUGCUAGUGGACCCGCCGCAGAUACCCUUCCCGAUGCCGCUCCCUCCUGACCAUGGCCGCGGCCACUUUCAGCAUGUUACCAACUCGGUCAUCACCAUCGGAAGCAGGGGGGCCAUUGGCUGGGUUGAUCUCUGGCAAGGAAUACUGUUCUAUGAUGUGCUCGGUGACAAUGAGGACAAAAUCCACCUUGUGACGCUGCCGGUAAGGCCAGGAAGCCACGGCGGCAAGGCGCUUGAUUGCUGUCCAAAGCCUUACCGAAGCGUUUCUGUCGUGGGGGAUUGCCUCAAGUUUGUUGAGUUGGAACCCUCCGGCCAUCGUCUUCCUGGUAAAGACCCUGAAACCAGGGGCCCCAAGCUCAAAAUUGAUGACUGGACACUCACCACAUAUACCAACUGCAAAAUCACCGGCGAUCCCGAGGAUUGGAAACCCGACUUCACUGUCAAUGCAUCUGCCAUCCGAAUUGACGCGACAAUGCGGUCCGUAUUGCUUCGCUGUGGAAUGCUGCUGCGUAAGACUCACAACAGUAGUGAGGCUGCAGAGAGAAACUUGCAAAAUCUCUGGACAUGUCAGCCUGUUGUCGGCCUGAAUGAUGAAGGUACUAUUGUUUACCUCAUCACCAGGGUCAAAUUUCAGCACCCUAAGGCAUGGCUUCUUGCUGUUGACAUGGCCAACAACCAAGUACGAGGAAUGGCUAUGAUUGAAACUGAAAGGAGCACCGCCUUGUCGCUCAAUUAUUUUCCUUGUAGGAUCUCAUCUCCAGCUAGCUGA
This 1269-nucleotide ribosomal RNA is filed under the name Triticum aestivum (bread wheat). RNAcentral describes it as "partial small subunit ribosomal RNA". Lineage: Eukaryota; Viridiplantae; Streptophyta; Magnoliopsida; Poales; Poaceae. The record is from RNAcentral.